Molecule: ribosomal RNA, 266 nt
Filed under: Clostridioides difficile
Lineage: Bacteria; Bacillati; Bacillota; Clostridia; Peptostreptococcales; Peptostreptococcaceae
Description: partial 16S ribosomal RNA
Rfam family: Bacterial small subunit ribosomal RNA
Source: RNAcentral
UAAAGCUACUCUCAGUUCGGAUUGUAGGCUGAAACUCGCCUACAUGAAGCUGGAGUUACUAGUAAUCGCAGAUCAGAAUGCUGCGGUGAAUGCGUUCCCGGGUCUUGUACACACCGCCCGUCACACCACGGGAGUUGGAGACGCCCGAAGCCGAUUAUCUAACCUUUUGGAAGAAGUCGUCGAAGGUGGAAUCAAUAACUGGGGUGAAGUCGUAACAAGGUAGCCGUAUCGGAAGGUGCGGCUGGAUCACCUCCUUUCUAAGGAGA